UACGUAGGGUGCAAGCGUUGUCCGGAAUUAUUGGGCGUAAAGAGCUCGUAGGCGGUGUGUCACGUCUGCUGUGAAAAUCCAAGGCUCAACCUUGGACUUGCAGUGGGUACGGGCACACUCGAGUGCGGUAGGGGAGAUUGGAAUUCCUGGUGUAGCGGUGGAAUGCGCAGAUAUUAGGAGGAACACCAGUGGCGAAGGCGCCGCUCUGGGCCGUAACUGACGCUGAGGAGCGAAAGCGUGGGGAGCGAACAGG
This 253-nucleotide ribosomal RNA is filed under the name uncultured bacterium. Its description in RNAcentral is "partial 16S ribosomal RNA". It matches the Rfam family "Bacterial small subunit ribosomal RNA", at positions 524 to 776 of the family's 1533-position model. The record is from RNAcentral.